RNAcentral lists this ribosomal RNA (328 nucleotides) under uncultured cyanobacterium. RNAcentral describes it as "partial 16S ribosomal RNA". It matches the Rfam family "Bacterial small subunit ribosomal RNA", at positions 377 to 720 of the family's 1533-position model. Lineage: Bacteria; Bacillati; Cyanobacteriota. The record is from RNAcentral.
GAAAGCCUGACGGAGCAACSCCGCGUGAGGRACGAAGGCCUUAGGGUUGUAAMCCYCUUUUCUCUGGGAAGAAGAUCUGACGGUACCWAAGGAAUCAGCMUCGGCUAACUCCGUGCCAGCAGCCGCGGUAAUACGGAGGAKGCAAGCGUUAUCCGGAAUUAUUGGGCGUAAAGCGUCCGUAGGUGGUUUUUUAAGUCUGUUGUCAAAGCSYGSRGCUCAACYCCAUAUMGGCAAUGGAAACURCGAAACUUGAGUGUGGUAGGGGUAGAGGGAAUUCCCAGUGUAGCGGUGAAAUGCGUAGAUAUUGGGAAGAACACCAGUGGCGAAG